AUACUUGCCUGGUAGAGGAGAUAACAUGAUCACUAAGGUGGUUUUCCCAGGGCAAGGCUUAUCCAUUGAACUCUGGAUGUGCUGACCCCUGCGAUUUCCCCAAUGUGGGAAACUUGACUGAAUCAUUUGUGGUAUUGGGGGACUGCAUUCGCACUUUCCCCUA
Camelus dromedarius (Arabian camel) is the source of this 163-nucleotide small nuclear RNA. Its record names the gene U1. It matches the Rfam family "U1 spliceosomal RNA". Rfam says of the family: U1 is a small nuclear RNA (snRNA) component of the spliceosome (involved in pre-mRNA splicing). The record is from Ensembl. NCBI's taxonomy places the organism in Eukaryota, Metazoa, Chordata, Mammalia, Artiodactyla, Camelidae.